AGUCACGUACGGCUUCAUACGAGGUCACGUCCAGAGUCACUGAACGAGUCACGUACGGCUUCAUACGAGGUCACGUCCAGAGUCACUGAACGAGUCACGUACGGCUUCAUACGAGGUCACGUCCAGAGUCACUGAACGAGUCACGUACGGCUUCAUACGAGGUCACGUCCAGAGUCACUGAACGAGUCACGUACGGCUUCAUACGAGGUCACGUCCAGAGUCACUGAACGAGUCACGUACGGCUUCAUACGAGGUCACGUCCAGAGUCACUGAACGAGUCACGUACGGCUUCAUACGAGGUCACGUCCAGAGUCACUGAACGAGUCACGUACGGCUUCAUACGAGGUCACGUCCAGAGUCACUGAACGAGUCACGUACGGCUUCAUACGAGGUCACGUCCAGAGUCACUGAACGAGUCACGUACGGCAUCAUACGAGGUCACGUCCAGAGUCACUGAAGGAUUCAAUGACCAAAAGGAGUAUCCUAUCGUGACAUCUACAGCAGUGGUUCCCAACCUUUUUCGGUUACUGUUCCACCAACUAAAUGUUGCUCUGCCCAGAGUACCCCUGAUUUACCACGUCAUUUGCAUUUUUACCAGUAGUCCUAUGGUCUCAUGAGUCUUCUCAAGUACCCCCUGUGGAAAGACCCAGUAUCCCCUGUGGAUAGACCCAGUAACCCCUGUGGAUAGACCCAGUAACCGUUUAGAUAGACCCAGUACUCCCUGUGGAUAGACCCAGUACCCCUGUGGAUAGACCCAGUACCCCCUGUGGAUAGAC
Molecule: long non-coding RNA, 776 nt
Organism: Oncorhynchus keta (chum salmon)
Lineage: Eukaryota; Metazoa; Chordata; Actinopteri; Salmoniformes; Salmonidae
Exons: 3
Source: RefSeq, a predicted model, not a curated record